RNAcentral lists this ribosomal RNA (253 nucleotides) under uncultured bacterium. Its description in RNAcentral is "partial 16S ribosomal RNA". It matches the Rfam family "Bacterial small subunit ribosomal RNA", at positions 524 to 776 of the family's 1533-position model. The record is from RNAcentral.
UACGUAGGGUGCAAGCGUUGUCCGGAAUUAUUGGGCGUAAAGAGCUCGUAGGCGGUUUGUCGCGUCUGCUGUGAAAACCCGAGGCUCAACUUCGGGCCUGCAGUGGGUACGGGCAGACUAGAGUGCGGUAGGGGAGAUUGGAAUUCCUGGUGUAGCGGUGGAAUGCGCAGAUAUCAGGAGGGACACCAAUGGCGAAGGCAGAUCUCUGGGCCGUAACUGACGCUGAGGAGCGAAAGCAUGGGGAGCGAACAGG